UCUCGAUGCUGCGUUUGUGUUUAUGAAGCGUAAGCGAUCGCAAAUACUAGGCUAGCUGCCGAGAGAGCCGUAGUAUCCCGCAGAAAAGCUGGCUAUGUCAGCUGUAUUACAGAAGCCAAAAAUGGCUUCGCAAAUUGCUGAAGACGGUCCGAAAAUUGGAUCUGUCUUGCCGGUCGAAGUAGAACAAGCUCUCCCAGAUCUGCUAAUGGUAUCACUGAAGUCUGGAGGCAAAGUUUUUCGUGGUGUUCUGAUUGACACUAAUUCAGGAGCAUGUCCUGUAGGUGUGCCGGAUACAACCAACCUUGGUUCACGUUUGAAUAAGGAAUUUGGGGUGCAGGUCAUGGACACAGCUGUCAUCCUACCAAAAGAAGAUCCAGGGACAGGGGACACUGCUACAAAAGUAGAGGAUUCAGCCUUGAGCUUUAGACAAUCCUACUUCCAGAAUAUGCCAUUGCCACCCGCAAGACCACUUCUGUUUGGUAAGAAAGAAAAGACACCAGAAAUCAAACAAAAGACAAUCGCUCAUGGAAGGUCCAGACAGUUUCGGUUGCGGCCUCGGCAGUUGCUUUGCAGCAACUGCAAAGGAACUUGUCAGUCAGUUAAAGCAAAGACUGCGACAAGAAACAGAACUGACAAGAGUAGUCUUAAAAAGCGGAAAGCAGAUUCUUCAGGAGAUGUUGUCCGUAAAAAGCCCAGGCCUGACGCGAGAGUCACAACAAAUGGUGGAACUAAUGUGGGUAAAACAAAUGCAGGGGCAUCAAGUUCCCGUCCGUUGAGUACUCCAGCAAAGUCAGAAAACAAGUCUAUCAAGAAAACCAGCCCUGCGAUAAAGAUAUCUUAUGCAACACCUGGGAAAGGACAAAGAUUAAUUGUGAGGAUACCACCUCGCACAAACAAUUUCAAGCAAAGUGCUACCUCUCAAGGGAUAGGAUCUAAGAGCAAGAACAGAGUACUAACUGUUCCAUUAUCACCACUAUCUUCACUUGGUAAGCAUAAAAUUGACUCCCUAACGAAGAGACCGUUGGCGAAUGGGUUGCAUAAUUCACCAGUGAAAACCCAGCAUGACAAAAUAAGGAUUGUAAAGUCCAAAGGAACUUACACAAUUCCUACAGAAAAGUUACCUGUAAGAACUUAUGGCCCUCUCCCGGGGUCACCAAAGAUAGUGAACGGAGGAAACAAACUGGUUGCAAAUGUCACUGUCAAGCCGAUACCAUUACUUAAUGGGUAUCGGUCAGUGAACAGUCCACAGGAGAAAGAGAAACUGCCUUCUGCCCCUAAUAUCUUGCCACCAUUUGAUAUCAGUGAUACAGCCAGUGAUUGUUCAUCUCAUACUAGUAGGGGUUCAAGAAGAGGGAGUAAGAAAGGAAAGCAGAAUGGCUCUAUCAACAACAACAAUUCAGAAUGUGAGUUCGACUCUGAUGCUUCAUCGAAGGAAGCUUCCAAGAAAAUAGAGGAGGUGAAACCCAACAUCCACAAGAAGAAUGUGACAAAGAGCAUCAUGCCUUGUGGCAGGACAGUGUGUGUAGGUGACAUCAUCUGGGGGAAAAUAAGAGGAUUCCCUUGGUGGCCAGGUCGCAUCGUCCAGAUCAUCGUGACACGAAGCAACGAAGGUAGCAUCACUCUGCAGGAGGCUCAGAUCACUUGGUUUGCAUCACGUUCUAUCUCCUUCAUGCCACUCACCACGCUUCCACCAUUCCUGGGGGAGUUCAAGAAGUACUAUGACAAGAAGAGGAAGGGGCUGUACAAGGAGGCUAUCACUCAGGCAACCAAAGCUGCAGAGGCACUGUCCAGUGAAGUACGAGAACUUCAUACUAUGUUUGAAACUCCACUUAACAAAUCCUAACCCAAGUCUCUCAUCCAGGACACUUCUAAGAUAACAUGUUAUUAAUAGUCAAAGAGCUGUUAGCAACAUAUCUCCAAGGGUGUCAUCCAACCUUAUUGUGCAGACUUGGUGAGCAUCAAUCCUGUAAGAUUUCAGCUCUUUGUGUAGAAAACAGUUUGUGAAGUAUCAAUAAUGAUCUGAUUGAUAUACAUGUAGGGCUGGUCUUGAUGUGCAGUAUUAAGAUGGCCUUGUCUCAAGGGAAAUCUGCUUAGAUUUUACAGGUACUUCGACAGCACUAUCAAGUCAUCCUGGAGCCCACGUGUGGAAGACAGCUCUGACCCUCGCUGAGCCUACCUUGACGAGCCGAGUCUACCUCUCCUGUGAAACCGCAGAAGGGGAUUGUCAACCGACCUUGUUAGCUUCCAUCAAACCUCAAGAAUGCAAGGAAUUCCACCAUGAGGAAAGGCUGGUCAAAGUCCACCAUCACUAAAGGAGAGGCAGAUAAUAUCAACCGCAGAGGAAACUAAAGGGGGCGUCGUGGCCUAUCUUCCAUGAGCUUUUGUUUAAUACACAAAUUUCAUUUUGAAAAUAUGAUCUUGGUAUAACUGACCAUUUACAUGUUGAUGCCAUCAAGUUGCAAUUGAUUCUAAUGAGUCAUGAUUUUGAGUUGAUCUCAACUGAUGUUUCUUCAGUUGAAAUGAAUUUGCAAUUGAUAUGAAAUCAAUCACUACUUUUUUACGGUGAGCCCCACAUGUAAUGAUGAUAUCAAUGAUCCCAAGAUAAAGUGAUAUCAAGGUAUUUGAAAUUAGAGAUGAAGAAGAGGAUUGAUGUCUUGAACCUGAUGAUUUGUUUGUAUUUCUACAGAGGGGUCUCGAUUCUUUGCUUCAUUUUCUUUACAAGGUUUACAAUGAAUUCAAACUGCCAGGGAGGUAUAUGAUAGUGUGUUCACUUAUUUAUGGAUUAGAGGGAGAAUUUAUGAUCUCAAGAUUUGUUUUUUUCUCUAUAGAUGGUUCAUCAUACACCACCAAAAGAAUAUUCUGAUAAAUAGAUAAUUCACUUGAAUGAAAGUUUUCAUCUUAGUAUUACAGCAAAGUACAGUAUCAGUUGUAAAAGAAUAGAACACGAUCCAAAUAAGAAAAAUAUGUAGAGUUGAGAAAUUUUGCCCUUUAAAUGUC
RNAcentral lists this unclassified non-coding RNA (2997 nucleotides) under Lytechinus variegatus (green sea urchin). RNAcentral describes it as "pWWP domain-containing protein 2A-like, transcript variant X1". The record is from RNAcentral. Lineage: Eukaryota; Metazoa; Echinodermata; Echinoidea; Temnopleuroida; Toxopneustidae.